AAAGCAACGCCCAGAACAACACAAUAUGGAAUAAAUACAAUAACUCUAUAUAUGUAUAUAUAGCUACUGAUAUCUCACACCUGCCAGCAUUUGUUUGAAAAGUUCAAAACCCAAGAUUAAAUUGAAAGAGAGCAAAAAAUCCAACUACCAACAACUUCAACUCACCUAAAGAAGAAGCAGAAGCAGAGAGCAAAAACAAAAUCAAAAAAAGCACUAGCGAAUAAUUGGCCCGAAAUGGCGGCCACAAUGCCAAGCAAAUUGGCUGAGGCAAGGUCCAAGUAAACUUUAUUGAAGCUUAAAGAUGUAAAUAUUAUUUCGCGUACAUUGAGUGUAUAUUAUUGUUAAAUAUAUGCCUGCUCUAUAAGCAUGGGGACCAACCGCUGCCGUUAAAAUUGUUUCCACUUUAAUACGAUAAGCUGAUUAAUAUGUAAAAUUGUUCUAAGUAUGUUAACAUUUGUUAAUUUUCCAACAGCAAUAAAAUUGUAGUAUUGAAAUAUUCGUAUUUGUUGUAAUAUAACAAUAUUUAUAGUAUUUAUAUAAUUUAUAUUUGUAUUGAAUAUUUAUUGCAUUCACUCCAUAAUCAUCAAAGGUAUAUAGUUAAAAGAUGUCAACUACUAAACAGUUAAAGUAUAUAGUUAGUGUAAAAGUUGGUAAAGGGUAUCUACUAGUCAGUAUAUUUUGAUUAAUAAUUUAAGUUAAAUUCCGAGUCUCAUUGCAAAUGUUUGUUCCCUAAUCCAAGGUCAAUCAAUCUCUUUUAUUCCUUGUUCCCUAAUGUGUCAAUUUAUGAUCAAUAAUAAUAAUAAUAAUACUUAUUAUCAUCUCACAAAAUGUUCCCUAAACAGAAUCAGACUUCAGAGGUUUUCAAAUCAAAAUAGUUGAAAGUGAAAAGUUGAAAAUUGGAAAUAAAAAUGAAAAAGCAUCGAAAGUUAUUUUUCAAUUGUAUUUUAAACUUUAUUAAUACACAAAACUUAAGUAAAAAAUAAUAAUAAACUCUACAUACCUACAAUACAAUACAUAAUAGUCAUAAAAAUAAUAAUAAUAGAUAAUAAUAAUAGUACACAAUUGUAAUAUUGUCGUUUCCAGUUAUUGUACAAUGUAAGCAAAAAUCUUGUUCAAUUGUUGUUUGUUGUUUGCAAAAAAUACACUCUCUAUAAGGAUAAGUGUAAGAUAUUGUAAAUAGAUAUAGUUAUAUAUAGGGCCAACUGUUCAGUUACCGAUUGAAUACUUUUAUCGCGUUCACUUCUAUGUAUUUUAUGUAAUUAUUAAUUAUUAAACAAAAAUAAUACAAAAACAAAUUCGUGGCUGAGUAUACAGCGGUUGCUUGUGUGUGUGUGUUUGUGUGUAUGGAUGAGUGUAUGAUGAACCUUGAGGUCCUUUUUUUUAACUUUGAUUGCUUUGUUCUUUUUUCACAUCACUUAAAAGUCUAAAGAUUUUUUGGUCCAAUAAUAUUUAGUUGGGAAUAAUAAAUAUGCAAUGCACAAAAGUGAAUGGAGGGGGAGGGAGACGAAAACUGAACAAAAAUUAAUGUGUGAAUAAUACAGAAAAGUGGUGGGGGG
Molecule: long non-coding RNA, 1556 nt
Organism: Drosophila sulfurigaster albostrigata
Lineage: Eukaryota; Metazoa; Arthropoda; Insecta; Diptera; Drosophilidae
Exons: 3
Source: RefSeq, a predicted model, not a curated record